UUUUCUUAUUCUUUUGCUUUGCAGAAAUUAUUGGCAAGAAUUUCUAAUGGAAGACAACAACAAGCCAGGUUCAUUUUCUAAACGUGAUGAUGAUGAUGAUGAUGAAAUAUAUAGAAUGGUAAUGACAUGUGACAAAGAGUAUGUGUAUAAUCGGAUGAAAAGAUUACGGGAUGAAAAUUCAUUUUUGAGAAAAAAGUUAGAAAUUAUAGGCCGUACAGCUACUCAACAAGAAAACCACAUAAGGGAUUUUGAAAAACUGAUUAGAAUCUUUGAGCAAGAGAUAUUCAAAAUAGGUACUGAUAUCGAAAGCAAAAGAAUCUUAGAAAUUACAAGCCGUAUAGCUACUCUACAAGGAAAUCACAUAAGGAAAUUGGAAAAACUGAUAAGAGUCUUUGAGCAAGGGAUAUUCAAAAUAGGUGUUGAUAAUGAAGACAACAAAAUCUUAGAAAUUACAAGCCGUAUAGCUAAUCAACAAGGAAACCACAUAAAGGAUUUGGAAAAACAGAUAAGAGACUUGGAGAAAGAGGCUGCGUAUGCUGCAUACCUUAAUUCUGUAAGAAGUGCUUUUCAUACUCGUCAGUCUAUUAUCUUUUCUGAAAAAGCAGUGUCUAUUUUGAGUAUGGUAACAUCUCCUCUUACAAAGAAGCAGAUUAAUACAAGCUCUGAGGACUUGUACGAUGAUCCAAAACCUUCGACUUCAAGUGAUAUAGACUCUUCUUUUUGUUUUCAAUCUGAUGAUAGUUUAAAUGAUGAUAAACAAAAGGAAUCAACACCUGGAGGCAUUGACAAUGGGCCAGAUGAUAACAGAAGACAAGGAAAAUUACAGUCUUGUAGUAAUGGGACUAGCUUUGCUGAUAAUGAAAGCCAGAAACCAUCUUCCAGUACUGACACUGGCUUUAAUGAUAAUAAAAGACAGAGUGAUUCGUUAUCUAACAGUACAUUUGAUGAUAUUAGAAGACAAGAAGAAUUAUCCCAUAGCACUGAGACUAGCUUUGCUGAUAAGGAAAGCCAGAAACCAUCUUCCAGUACUGACACUAGCUUUAAUGAUAAUAGAAGACAGAGUGAUUUGUUAUCUAACAGUACAUUUGAUGAUAUUAGAAGACAAGAAGAAUUAUCCCAUAGCACUGAUACCAGCGUUGAUAAUAAUAGAACCAAAAGUUCGUUAGAUGAUAAAAGAAGGCUGCGAGAAUUAGCUUGCAGCACUAAGAAUAUAUGUAAUGAUAAUGCCAGACAAAGGCCUAUGCGCAAGUCAACUUGCAGCUCUAACUGCACAUCUGAUGAUAAUAGAAGACAGAAAGAGCCACAAUCUGGUAGCAUCCAUUGUAGGUUUAAUGAUGCUAAAAAGAAAAGAAAAUCAUCAUUUCGCUGUGGAAGAAGACCAGAUGAGAGCAAAGAGAAAGAAAAAAAAAAAUUGUCAUCGCAAACAGCUUACAAAGCAUCAGUUAUUACAGUAUCUUCAUCUCGUAAUAACGCCUGUCACAGUAAUGGUAAUGAGAGUUGCAAGGUUCUGGAAAAAAUUCAUUUUAAUAUUCACUUGCCAGACAAUCCAUUUCAGUGUGGAACUCCUACUAUAGUAACACCAUCUGCAAACUUUCCUUUUUUUAAAAGAAGAGAUUACUUUAAAAAUCUUCAAAAGAAAUGGUUUAAAUCUAGUAUAAGAGGUAAAACUGAAAAUAGUAAAUUAAAUUUCGACAAUUGUAAAUCGUCACGUAACACUUUUCGAACUAAUAGAAAGGUAAAUAAUAGUUUGAAGAAAAAAAGUAAACUUAAUGCAAUGCGAAAUAAAGUAAAAAUAAAUGAAGAAGCUUUAAAGAAUUCUGCUAAAGAACUUAGCAUGAGAACCAAGAAAAAGAAAAGUAUUCGUAAUGCAGGUAGGAAGGAUAGCAUGAGAACCAAGAAAAAGAAAAGUAUUCGUAAUGCAGGUAGGAAGGAUGUUCAUGAUGCUGUAAUGGUAAAAAAAAAUUUUGGUGAUGAGGAAGAAAACCAUGUCCAGAGUUUUAAAGUAACAGAUAUUGAAAAUGAUGAAAACAUGCAGCCAAAAGUAAUGUUGAUAGAUAUUUUUAGUGAUCCUAAUGCAGCGAAUGAUCCUUAUGUGAGUAAAAUUAAGCAAGACUUGGGUUGGAUCCUGGAUGAAUCAGAAUGCCCAGUUGUUAAUGAUGAUAUGGAAAAGGAAGAACUCACUUUUUCUAAUUUAGGAAGUUUUGAUGGAACAAAUGAAUCACCAGACAUUGAUAAUGAGAAGGUGACAGCUGAGUCAGUAUAUUCAUUUUCUGAGGAAAAUAUGGAUUAUCAAGAUCCGUCUGAGAGUGAAAUGUUAUCCCCAGAAAGUGUACAUAAUAGUGACCAAUGUUUAGAGAAAGAUGAUGAAAAGUUUGAAGACAAGUCUCCUAAUGAAGUUUUAUCUCCUAAUGAAGUAGCUAAUGAAUUUUUAUCUGAAGACUCUGCUACCAUAUUUAUGGAUGAACCUUGCUGUUCUAAGGAUUCACAAAGCUUUUCGUGUAGUCCUGCACCUGAGAACCCUCCAAGGAAGGGUCCUCGUACUCCCCCUCACCCUCCACCAGAUUAUUCAGAUGAAGAUUUCUCUUCCAUAUGCAAUAUGUCUGGGGAGGAUCAGAAUUUUGGAAAUGAAGUUACUCACUGUAAACUUUGCCAUUGAGAGAUGUAGAAGGAUUUGGGUAAACUGGAUUGACUGUUGAUGUGAAAUAUCAGAAGAUGUGUAUGACUAUGGAACCGAUUAUUAUUAUGAAUCUGAAGACUGAAAUUGGAUAGCUUUGGCAUUUUCUUCUAUCAUCUGGUAAGAAGAAAAAAAGAAAAAUGAAAGAAACUGUGCAUUUGAGUUUACUUUUUUACAUUUAUUAUAAUCUUUAUCAGUUAUUUUCUGUUAAUGGGAUGAUGCCACUUAAUGCUAAACAUAAAUAUUGGCAUGUAAUCUAACUGGAUGCAUUCAGCCCUUACAAUAUAUAAAGCUCCAUGAAGAGAAUAACUAUUUUGCAUAUGAUGCUUAAUGUGCACAAUGCCAAAUUGUACAAUUCUCUAAAUUUUUUUAAAGCAAAAACAAACCACUGUGCACAUGGGGCAAAGAAACUGUUGUUCCACAUACACAAUGAUCUGUUUUCACUGUAAGAAAUAUCAGAUAAUUGUAUUUUGCAUUGGGCACAAAAUCAAAGAAAAUUGAUUAUCUGCUCUUCAUCAUAAAAACAACUGAAAAUUUAGGACCGUAGAUUACUGUAUUGAUGUGCAUUGCCUGACUGAUAUUCAUUGAUAUCUCUUGUUCGCAACAAUGCUAUUGCUCACGUGAUGCAAACAGGCUAGCAUAUUUGGCAAUUUGUUUCCCAUUAAAGAAAAACACCCCUUUUUUUAAAUUUAUAAGUUAGCUCAAUAUUUUUCUUCAAAGGAUUUUCCCUAUCCUUCCCAUUAUUUUCCUUUUGAGUCUUGUUAAUUUAUUUCCAUCUUUUGCUGAUCAUGAUAACCUAAUUUUUCUUGAUAUAUGAAUAUGCACUUAUUCUGUAUUCAAUAAUAUUAUACACUGUUAUUUUGUAUAAUCCUUUUCAAAUAUCUGGCAUCAGAGUGUUGAAAAAUUAAACAUUAAAUUUUUGUUAAAAUUAGUUUUUAUUGCUUUUUUGUCUUUAAAUAUUAGUUGAGAGGGGAUGCUAGAAUCCACUUUGUUCUUGUAUCUUGAAAGUCAUUAGAUGCACCCAUCUAAUUUUGCAUGGUAUGAAAGUAUGUUUUAAAAUUAUAUUUUCUGAUUAGAUAGAUUUAAGUACUUUGUUUCUUAUGAGUCUGCGUUCAUUCGAUGCUGACAUCUUUAUUAUUGUAAACAGUGUCUUCUUUUAUGCAACAUUUUUUGUUUUAGAAUAUUUUUAGUUAAAAAUGUUUUAGAUUUGAUAAAUUUUUGGUAUGCUUUUAAGGUUUUUUUCAGUUGUGGGGUGUGGUGUGUUUUUGUGAAUAAUAUCUUUAAUGGAUAAUUAAAGUGAAUAUUGACUA
Molecule: unclassified non-coding RNA, 3984 nt
Organism: Stegodyphus dumicola
Lineage: Eukaryota; Metazoa; Arthropoda; Arachnida; Araneae; Eresidae
Source: RefSeq, a predicted model, not a curated record